This 877-nucleotide ribosomal RNA is filed under the name uncultured archaeon. RNAcentral describes it as "bacterial SSU rRNA". It matches the Rfam family "Archaeal small subunit ribosomal RNA", at positions 21 to 903 of the family's 1478-position model. The record is from RNAcentral.
CCUGACUGCUAUCGGAUUGAUACUAAGCCAUGCGAGUCUUUGUAGUAAUACAAGGCAGACGGCUCAGUAACACGUAGUCAACCUACCCUAUGGACAAGAAUAAUCUCGGGAAACUGGGCAUAAUUCUUGAUAGAUCAUAAUGCCUGGAAUGGUUUAUGGUUAAAAUGAUUCGUCGCCAUAGGAUGGGACUGCGGCCUAUCAGCUUGUUGGUGAGGUAAUGGCCCACCAAGGCGAUUACAGGUACGGGCUCUGAGAGGAGAAGCCCGGAGAUGGGUACUGAGACACGGACCCAGGCCCUAUGGGGCGCAGCAGGCGAGAAAACUUUGCAAUGUGCGAAAGCACGACAAGGUUAAUCCGAGUGAUUUCUGCUAAAGAAAUCUUUUGCCAGUCAUAAAACCACUGGUGAAUAAGGGGUGGGCAAGUUCUGGUGUCAGCCGCCGCGGUAAAACCAGCACCUCAAGUGGUCAGGAUGAUUAUUGGGCCUAAAGCAUCCGUAGCCGGCUUUGUUAGUUUUCGGUUAAAUCCAUGUGCUCAACGCAUGGGCUGCCGAAAAUACUGCAUGGCUAGGGAGUGGGAGAGGUAGACGGUACUCAGUAGGAAGGGGUAAAAUCCUUUGAUCUAUUGAUGACCACCUGUGGCGAAGGCGGUCUACCAGAACACGUUCGACGGUGAGGGAUGAAAGCUGGGGGAGCAAACCGGAUUAGAUACCCGGGUAGUCCCAGCUGUAAACGAUGCAGACUCGAUGAUGCAUUGGCAUAAUAGCCAGUGCAGUGUCGCAGGGAAGCCGUUAAGUCUGCCGCCUGGGAAGUACGUACGCAAGUAUGAAACUUAAAGGAAUUGGCGGGGGAGCACCGACAAGGGGUGAAGCCUGCGGUUC